Dioscorea cayenensis subsp. rotundata (Guinea yam) is the source of this 396-nucleotide long non-coding RNA. RefSeq lists it as uncharacterized. The transcript has 3 exons. Lineage: Eukaryota; Viridiplantae; Streptophyta; Magnoliopsida; Dioscoreales; Dioscoreaceae. The record is from RefSeq and is a predicted model, not a curated record.
CUGGGGUCCGGCUGUUCUUCUUCUUAGGAGCAGCAUCAGAAGGUGAUCUUUGCGAGGAUUCAAGAAAUCUUAUGGUUUGCUUCCAACCGAGAGGGACUUGUUUCACGGUGAUCACUUCAAGGAGGAAUGACUUUAUUUCGGCGAAGAAGGAUAAUUCUACUCUCUAUAUAUAGUGGAAACUUAUUUGUGAUGGGAGUUCUCAUGUGUUAUUUUGUGUGUGUAAUAUAUGGUGAAAUGUGGAGUAUUAUGGGUUUUAUAUAGAGUACUUAUGUGAGGAGGUUCAUAACUAGGUUAAUAUGUAUUUAUAGUUAAGUUUGAUGUGUUGUAUGUUGUGAAAUUUCAUAUGUUGUAAUAUGGAGAUAAAUACCUAUAUGGAGUUGUUGGUUGUUUGUUUGU